This 78-nucleotide transfer RNA is filed under the name Caudoviricetes sp. Its description in RNAcentral is "tRNA-Ile". It matches the Rfam family "tRNA". From Rfam's summary of the family: Transfer RNA (tRNA) molecules are approximately 80 nucleotides in length. Their secondary structure includes four short double-helical elements and three loops (D, anti-codon, and T loops). Lineage: Duplodnaviria; Heunggongvirae; Uroviricota; Caudoviricetes. The record is from RNAcentral.
AGGCUCGUGGUGUUAUUGGUUGGCAUUCUCGCCUGAUAAGCGAGCGGUUUGUGAGUUCAAGUCUCACCGAGCCUACCA